GUCACUGCAGUAUUUAUGUGAAGCUGAGCCAAGUGGAGCAAUUGAGUCUCAUCAACACUCACCAUGAAGAUCCCACUCUCUUUAUUCCUGCUACUAAUCAGCCUCAUUGGUGUGAAAUGUCAAAGUCUUGAGUCAUUACAAACAACAGUGCAGAAGAAACCUGGCGACACGCUGAGUCUCUCCUGCAGAGGAUCUGGAUUCACUUUUAGCAGCUACCAAAUGCACUGGAUCAGACAGCAGGCAAACAAACCACUGGUGUGGAUGGGGUACAUCUAUACUGAUGGCAGUAAAACUGGAUAUAGUACAUCUUUUGAAGGGAGAACAGAAAUCACCAGAGAUAAUUCCAACAGCAUGGCGUAUCUGAAACUCUCUGGGGUGACAGCAGAAGACACAGCUGUGUAUUACUGUGCCCGAAGAGCACUGUAGCAGAAAUGUGAGGAAACACUGUACAAAAACACUAGCAUUGCUGCUGAUUCAUUUCAUCUGGCCAAUAGGUUUCAGAGACCAAACCAUCUCUUCUAUUUAAAUAAUGAAUCUCCAGAGCAGCAUUGUUUAAAUAAGGGUUUAUGAUUUCCUCAUUUAUUUCAUAUAGAUAAUAAAUGUUGCAUAAAUGCUUUUUCAUGGAAGGAUAAUA
Molecule: non-coding RNA, 634 nt
Organism: Hemibagrus wyckioides
Lineage: Eukaryota; Metazoa; Chordata; Actinopteri; Siluriformes; Bagridae
Source: the annotation of a RefSeq genome assembly